UAAUUCCUUCGAUGUUGAU
This 19-nucleotide unclassified non-coding RNA is filed under the name Mus musculus (house mouse). RNAcentral describes it as "oocyte_clustered_small_RNA10298". The record is from RNAcentral. Lineage: Eukaryota; Metazoa; Chordata; Mammalia; Rodentia; Muridae.